UACGGAAGGCAGCAGUGGGGAAUAUUGCACAAUGGGCGAAAGCCUGAUGCAGCUAUGCCGCGUGUAUGAAGAAGGCCUUAGGGUUGUAAAGUACUUUCAUCGGGGAGGAAAAACAAAACUAAUAAUUUUAUUUCUUGACGUUACCCGAAAAAGAAGCACCGGCUAACUCCGUGCCAGCAGCCGCGGUAAUACGGAGGGUGCUAGCGUUAAUCAGAAUUACUGGGCGUAAAGAGCACGUAGGUGGUUUUUUUAAGUCAGAUGUGAAAUCCCUGGGCUUAACCUAGGAACUGCAUUUUGAAACUGAAAUACUAGAGUAUCGUAGAGGGAGGUAGAAUUCUAGGUGUAGCGGUGAAAUGCGUAGAUAUCUGGAGGAAUACCUGUGGCGAAAGCGGCCUCCUAAACGAAUACUGACACUGAGGGUGCGAAAGCGUGGGGAGCAAACGAGGAUUAGAUACCCGU
This 459-nucleotide ribosomal RNA is filed under the name uncultured bacterium. RNAcentral describes it as "bacterial SSU rRNA". It matches the Rfam family "Bacterial small subunit ribosomal RNA", at positions 340 to 790 of the family's 1533-position model. The record is from RNAcentral.